UACGUAGGGCGCAAGCGUUGUCCGGAAUUAUUGGGCGUAAAGAGCGUGUAGGCGGCCAGGUAGGUCUGCUGUGAAAACUCGAGGCUUAACCUCGAGAUGUCGGCGGAAACCAUCUGGCUAGAGUCCGGAAGAGGAGAAUGGAAUUCCCGGUGUAGCGGUGAAAUGCGCAGAUAUCGGGAAGAACACCCGUGGCGAAGGCGGUUCUCUGGGACGGUACUGACGCUGAGACGCGAAAGCGUGGGGAGCAAACAGG
This 253-nucleotide ribosomal RNA is filed under the name uncultured bacterium. Its description in RNAcentral is "partial 16S ribosomal RNA". It matches the Rfam family "Bacterial small subunit ribosomal RNA", at positions 524 to 776 of the family's 1533-position model. The record is from RNAcentral.